Molecule: ribosomal RNA, 460 nt
Filed under: uncultured bacterium
Lineage: Bacteria
Description: partial 16S ribosomal RNA
Rfam family: Bacterial small subunit ribosomal RNA
Source: RNAcentral
CCUACGGGGGGCAGCAGUGAGGAAUAUUGGUCAAUGGACGAGAGUCUGAACCAGCCAAGUAGCGUGAAGGAUGACUGCCCUAUGGGUUGUAAACUUCUUUUAUAUGGGAAUAAAACGUUCCACGUGUGGGAUUUUGUAUGUACCAUAUGAAUAAGGAUCGGCUAACUCCGUGCCAGCAGCCGCGGUAAUACGGAGGAUCCGAGCGUUAUCCGGUUUUAUUGGGUUUAAAGGGAGCGUAGGUGGAUUGUUAAGUCAGUUGUGAAAGUUUGCGGCUCAACCGUAAAAUUGCAGUUGAAACUGGCAGUCUUGAGUACAGUAGAGGUGGGCGGAAUUCGUGGUGUAGCGGUGAAAUGCUUAGAUAUCACGAAGAACUCCGAUUGCGAAGGCAGUUCACUGGACUGCAACUGACACUGAGGCUCGAAAGUGUGGGUAUCAAACAGGAUUAGAUACCCUAGUAGUC